This 682-nucleotide ribosomal RNA is filed under the name uncultured Bacillota bacterium. Its description in RNAcentral is "bacterial SSU rRNA". It matches the Rfam family "Bacterial small subunit ribosomal RNA", at positions 827 to 1504 of the family's 1533-position model. Lineage: Bacteria; Bacillati; Bacillota. The record is from RNAcentral.
CGGUAUCGACUCCGCCAGUAUCGUAGCUAACGCGUUAAGUAUUCCGCCUGUGUAGUACGGCCGCAAGGUUGAAACAUAAAGAAAUUGACGGGGACCCGCACAAGCAGCGGAGCAUGUGGUUUAAUUCGAAGAUACGCGAAAAACCUUACCAGGACUUGACAUCCCCCGCAUAGCCCGGAAACGGGUGAAAGUAUAGCAAUAUAUCGGGGUGACAGAUGGUGCAUGGUUGUCGUCAGCUCGUGUCGUGAGAUGUUCGGUUAGGUCCGUCAACGAGCGCAACCCUUGUUUUCAGUUGCCAGCAUUAAGUUGGGCACUCUGGAGAGACUGCCGUAGUUAAUACGGAGGGAGGUGGGGAUGACGUCAAAUCAUCAUGCCUCUUACGUUCUGGGCUACACACGUGCUACAAUGGUGACCACAAACAGUUGCAAUAUGGUAACAUGGAGCCAAUCUGAAAAAAGUCAUCUCAAUUCGGAUUGUGGGCUGAAACUCGCCCACAUGAAGUCGGAGUUGCUAGUAAUCGUGAAUCAGCACGUCACGGUGAAUGCGUUCCCGGGUCUUGUACACACCGCCCGCCAAGCUACGGGAGUCGGGUGCAUCCAAAGCCGGUGCGUUAACCCUUCGGGGAGACAGCCGUCUAAGGUGAAACCGAUGACUAGAGUUAAGUCGUAACAAGGUAACCGUA